CACUCUGUCUUUGGAAGUCACCAGCAGCAGUUGCAGUUCGUUUAAGAUCAGCAGAUCGUCUUUUUGAUUAUGAAGAUGAUAAUAACCAUAAUGAUCAUCGCGGUUUUGGUGUGGCUGCAAGCAGCAUUAGUUGAUGGGUGCACAAGAAUAUAUGCAGAAUGUAAAAGCACGGAUUGCUGCCCAGGGCUUCGUUGUCAUAUUGUCGAUCAGUUCAAGAGUUGCAGAGAGGUAGAAUUAAUCAAAUAAUUCCAUGAACUUCUUCUGAAUUCAGCAGAAAGUAAUUCGCUAAUUUUAUCUCUUGUCUGUCCCAUGCAUCAAGACAUGAUAAUUCCAAGUGUAUUUUGUGCGUUUUGUUGCUAAGAAAGAUCUUGUCAGACAUUGUCUACUCUGUUUGAUGAGUAAAGGAUAGAGAAAUGAUUUACCUGUGUCAACUGAUUUUGACUGUCGUGAGAGCAAGGUUUUCAUUGCUUAAAACUUACUUUUUAGUGUAGUGGAUUCAUCUACCUUCUGCUGACGACUCCAAGCAGACCUCAUGGUUGUGUGCUCAGAGAAAGUUUUCCUAUACACGGCUAAGGGCAGCCUGUGAUGCACGAUCGCCGAUAUUUUUUGUAGCUUUUUAUCCUCAACAAACAAAACUCUUCUCCUCAGAGCAAGUAGAGUUAUAUUGCCGCUUUAAAAAAAUAUUAGUUUGAAAAAAGCUUCAAUCCUGUACACUUGGUGAACUUUA
Molecule: long non-coding RNA, 727 nt
Organism: Pomacea canaliculata
Lineage: Eukaryota; Metazoa; Mollusca; Gastropoda; Architaenioglossa; Ampullariidae
Exons: 3
Source: RefSeq, a predicted model, not a curated record